CCGAACCUAACACACCUCCUUCCGCCGGAGGCAGCCGUCGUGGGCGAGCGAGCGACGGCGUCAGUUGGAGCGAGGGAGCCCGCGGCUCCACCAAGCGCCGCCGGCGCUGCCCCCGGACCCAGCCACCACCGCCGCACUCAGACCAGCCACCUCCUUUGCCCUCACACCCAUCUAACUCCAUGGGAAACCGCUGCUGGCACUCUCCACCUUCCACCCCAGUCGCUGCUUCCAACCUGCGAGGCCAGGAACCAGCCCUCGUCGCCCCUCCCGUGCCCGUCCAGGGUACGUCCGAGGACAGCGUGUAGGCGGCAAGUGUACUAGUGAGCAGCUACUGAACUGAUUCUGACACUGAAACAUUAAUCCACUCUGCCUCCUCCGACGAGUUCUUCAGUCCAAGUUCUCCCACGAGGCCGUCUCUGGUUUCGUUUCCCUUAACAUUGGUAAGAGAAAAGAUCAUUCGACUUCAAAUCUGUUUGGACUGGUAGUUCAACUUCUUUCGUACAGAAGGUUCAGAAAGUUUUGUACCUGAAAAUGCACAUAUUUGGAGUACGCGAAUAUAUAUGUGUGUUUCUGAGUUUUGCUCUUGUGUAAAAGUUCAAUAUGUAUUAUGUCAUCAAUUCGUAAUGAAAAGGCGGGAACAAUUCAA
Long non-coding RNA from Aegilops tauschii subsp. strangulata, 646 nucleotides. RefSeq lists it as uncharacterized. The record is from RefSeq and is a predicted model, not a curated record. Lineage: Eukaryota; Viridiplantae; Streptophyta; Magnoliopsida; Poales; Poaceae.